GGCCGGGUAGUGCGCAUUGAUACAAGACCCGAAAGGGAAAAAAUGCGGGCCGUCUGUGAGCGGUGGUCAAAGUACCCGGCCGCCCCUUG
This 89-nucleotide non-coding RNA is filed under the name Cupriavidus taiwanensis. RNAcentral's name for it is "sRNA-Xcc1". It matches the Rfam family "sRNA-Xcc1". The record is from RNAcentral. Lineage: Bacteria; Pseudomonadati; Pseudomonadota; Betaproteobacteria; Burkholderiales; Burkholderiaceae.